AAGGCUUUAGCUUAAUUAAAGCGUCUGGCUUGCAUUCAGAAGAUACAGGUUAAUAUCCUGUUAGUCUUA
This 69-nucleotide transfer RNA is filed under the name Lophura nycthemera (Silver pheasant). Its description in RNAcentral is "tRNA-Ala". It matches the Rfam family "tRNA". Rfam says of the family: Transfer RNA (tRNA) molecules are approximately 80 nucleotides in length. Their secondary structure includes four short double-helical elements and three loops (D, anti-codon, and T loops). Further hydrogen bonds mediate the characteristic L-shaped molecular structure. tRNAs have two regions of fundamental functional importance: the anti-codon, which is responsible for specific mRNA codon recognition, and the 3' end, to which the tRNAs corresponding amino acid is attached (by aminoacyl-tRNA synthetases). tRNAs cope with the degeneracy of the genetic code in two manners: having more than one tRNA (with a specific anti-codon) for a particular amino acid; and 'wobble' base-pairing, i.e. permitting non-standard base-pairing at the 3rd anti-codon position. Lineage: Eukaryota; Metazoa; Chordata; Aves; Galliformes; Phasianidae. The record is from RNAcentral.